UUGCUCGCUUUGGCAGCACAUGCACUAAAAUUGGACAAUACACAAAAGAUAAGCGUCGCCCUUGUGACAUGCAAAUUCGUGAAGUGUUCCAUAUUUUU
Molecule: small nuclear RNA, 98 nt
Filed under: Echinops telfairi (small Madagascar hedgehog)
Lineage: Eukaryota; Metazoa; Chordata; Mammalia; Afrosoricida; Tenrecidae
Source: RNAcentral